GAUUAAUAUUUAAAAUAUAUAAGGAACUCAAACAACUCAGUAACAAGAAAACCUGAUUAACAAAUAGAAGGACUGAAUAGACAUUUCUCAACAGAAGACAUACAAAUGUCCAACAAGUAUAUGAAAAAAUACUCAAGAAAACUAAUCAUCAGUAAAAUGCAAAUCAAAACCACAAUAAGAUGUCACCUCACUCCCAUUAGAAUGGCUAUGCCACAUUUUGGCUGUUUGCGCCUUCUGAAAUUCGUAUUGAAAUUUCACACUAAUUUUAACAGUAUUAAGAGGGUGGGAAAUCUGACUAUGGUGUUUGGGUGGAGCAUUAGUGGGUUUAUAAGUGGAGAAAGUGACACCUGAGCUAGCAUGGUUAGCCCUCUUGUCAUAUGAUUUCCUGCACCAUCAGGGACUCUGCAGAGUUCCCCCUGGCAAGAAUGUUCUCACCAGAUGCAGCCUGUCAAUCUUGGACUUCCCAGCCUCCAGAAUCAUGAGCAUUAUUUACAGUAGCCAAGAUAUGGAAUCAACCCAACUGUCCAUCAACAGAUAAAUGAAUAAGGAAAAUAUGGUAUAUACACAGUGGAAUACUAUUCAUUCAUUGAAAAGAAGGAAAUCCUGCCAUUUGCAUCAACAUGGAUGAACCUGGAGGAUAUUAAGUGAAACAAGCCAGGCACAGGAAGACAAAUACCACAUGCUUUCACUCAUAUAUGUGGAGCAUUGUACCCUGGAAUGCCAGUUCCUUGAUGAAGAGAUUGGAUUUUUUUGACUGAAUUCUAUAUACUUCUCCAAGUACCUGGUAUUUAGCGGCCUCUCAGCUAUUACUAAUACUUGUUUGGUCCUGGAGAUGUUUAAUAAUUACCUGUUGCUUUAUCUUGAGGAUAGCAGUCAAGUAGAAUGAAGACUGCUGAGGUGAAAAACAGACACACAAAAGCCUAAAUAGCCGAGAGUCCUCAGUUCACUGGAGGCUCCAGAUAUCUUCACAAUUGUAAAGACAGAAACAAAAAAUUUGAAAAAUACCAAAAGGAAAAAUAAGUGCAAACCAAAACAGGGAAUGACAAAGGAAGCCAUCUGAAGAUGCCUUCAUCAUCUGAACAUUUCUCAGUUGCUAUUUUACUUUUUGAAAGUAGACUGUUAUUUAAGAGUCAAUUGCAUUUAUCUGUGCCUCAUCUCCCCUAUUUAUUAUGCCUCCUCAAGGCAUUGGACAAUGUUAACCACAUUCCUUUUAACUCCCCAGAACAUUGAGUCUUAUGCAUCAAGUGAGAGCAAUUUAUAAGCCCUUCGUUAUGUUUUCCCGGAAACUAGAUGAAAGUGUUUUAAGUAAGGAGAAAUCACUUAAAAUGGUAAGCUUGUCUAUUUCUCUGCAUGGUUGAGGACGUCCAGCUGCUCUGGGCUGCAGUUUGUGUCCUGCCAUCCCUGCAAAACUUCUGCCUGAUAUCUGCCUUCACCACCACCCAACCCAAAGCAACUCUGAUUCUGGCAAGCUGACCUCUCUUUUUUCAGGGCAAUUUAUCUCUCCCUGUGCCCUGGGAGAGGCCAGACAACAGUCCUGAGAGACGCUGCCAGCAAGUUGUUUAUGCCAGGAGAGUGUUGCCCUACCCGUGGCCUCACUGCAGAGCCCUCUAUGGAGAGGGGAUGUAUCUGAUUCUGAUGUUCUUUUACAAAUCAAAUUUCUGCAUUUUAAUUUUUGUACCUCUUCUCAGACGCUGCAUUGUAUGAUAGAAUAUUUAUUUUAUUAUUAAAAAUGGUGAAUUAACUAGCACAUUGCUUUUUCUAUCUUAAUAACGACUAUCUUAAUUCUGUAAAAUUAUAAUGUAAGUCUUGAGUAAAGUAGUCAUUGCAGUAUUUUAUAAUCCUAGUCAUAUACCAGAGCUUUCUCAAGGGGAAAAGUAUUAUAGUUAUCUCUUCAAUAUUUGCUUAUGUGAAACAGUUAUUAACACCGUUUAUAGCUAACCCUGUCUGUAGUGACUGUUUUGAGAACCCUAAAUCUCUAAUUUAAAGGCCCAAGAUUUUAUCAGUUUGUAUGGAACCUGUGUUUGCUCCUCAGUCCUGGUUUCCUAAUAAACUUAUGAAGAUAUUUGUGAUGGAUUUCUGAAGAUUUCGAGUACAUGUGAGGGGAUUCAGUACAAAUUACAGGGAUUCAACACAUUGACAGCAGGAAAAAUGUAAUGAAUUGUUAGGUGGGGAAUGAUGUAAAGUGAAGUAAUCUGAAUAAAAGCCUAUAUUAUA
This 2214-nucleotide long non-coding RNA is filed under the name Homo sapiens (human). RNAcentral's name for it is "HSALNT0408154". The record is from RNAcentral. Lineage: Eukaryota; Metazoa; Chordata; Mammalia; Primates; Hominidae.